UGCGUAGGCGGGCUAAUAAGUCAGUAGUGAAAUCUCUCGGCUCAACCGGGAAACCGCCAUUGAUACUGUUAGUCUUGAGUUCGGUUGAGGUAGGCGGAAUGUGUAAUGUAGCGGUGAAAUGCUUAGAUAUUACACAGAACACCAAUUGCGUAGGCAGCUUACUAGACCGACACUGACGCUGAGGCACGAAAGCGUGGGGAGCGAACAGGAUUAGAUACCCUGGUAGUCC
RNAcentral lists this ribosomal RNA (229 nucleotides) under uncultured bacterium. RNAcentral describes it as "partial 16S ribosomal RNA". It matches the Rfam family "Bacterial small subunit ribosomal RNA", at positions 568 to 796 of the family's 1533-position model. The record is from RNAcentral.